CCUACGGGUGGCAGCAGUAGGGAAUAUUGCUCAAUGGGGGAAACCCUGAAGCAGCAACGCCGCGUGGAGGAUGAAGGUUUUCGGAUUGUAAAAUCCUUUUGUUAGAGAAGAAAAUGACGGUAUCUAACGAAUAAGCACCGGCUAACGCCGUGCCAGCAGCCGCGGGAAUACGGAGGGAGCAAGCGUUAGUCGGAAUCACUGGGCGUAAAGGGCGCGUAGGCGGGAUAGCAAGUCAGAUGUGAAAUCCUAUGGCUUAACCAUAGAACUGCAUUUGAAACUGUUAUUCUAGAGUAUGGGAGAGGUAGGUGGAAUUCUUGGUGUAGCGGUGAAAUCCGUAGAGAUCACGCGGAAUACUCAUUGCGAAGGCGACCUGCUAGAACAUAACUGACGCUGAUGCGCGAAAGCGUGGGGAGCAAACAGGAUUAGAUACCCGAGUAGUC
Molecule: ribosomal RNA, 440 nt
Filed under: uncultured bacterium
Lineage: Bacteria
Description: partial 16S ribosomal RNA
Rfam family: Bacterial small subunit ribosomal RNA
Source: RNAcentral